Molecule: ribosomal RNA, 253 nt
Filed under: uncultured bacterium
Lineage: Bacteria
Description: partial 16S ribosomal RNA
Rfam family: Bacterial small subunit ribosomal RNA
Source: RNAcentral
GACGAACCGAGCGAACGUUGUUCGGAAUCACUGGGCUUAAAGGGCGCGUAGGCGGGUGCUCAAGUCUGGGGUGAAAUCCUCCAGCUUAACUGGAGAACUGCCAUGGAUACUGGGUGUCUCGAGGAAGAUAGGGGUAUGCGGAACGAUUGGUGGAGCGGUGAAAUGCGUUGAUAUCAAUCGGAACUCCGGUGGCGAAGGCGGCAUACUGGAUCUUAUCUGACGCUGAGGCGCGAAAGCUAGGGGAGCAAACGGG